ACAGCCGCCUGCGUGAAGGCGUAGCGCCGCCAACAUUGACCGCCCUGCCGUUCGUGGUGCUGGUCGUGGACAUCGUGGUGAACUUCUGGCGCGCACGGGCGCUCCACAAGACAGCCAUGGAAACCAAGAGNNNNACGCGCUGCACUUCGCUUCCGACGUGCUGGGCUCGUUCGCCGUUAUCAUCGGUCUCGGGCUGGCUGCCUUCGGUUAUGCCUGGGGCGACGCCGGCGCGGCCAUCGCCGU
This 243-nucleotide unclassified non-coding RNA is filed under the name Hevea brasiliensis (rubber tree). The record is from RNAcentral. Lineage: Eukaryota; Viridiplantae; Streptophyta; Magnoliopsida; Malpighiales; Euphorbiaceae.